CAGUCGCCGCGGUAAUACAGAGGGUGCGAGCGUUAAUCGGAUUUACUGGGCGUAAAGCGUGCGUAGGCGGCUUCUUAAGUCGGAUGUGAAAUCCCUGAGCUUAACUUAGGAAUUGCAUUCGAUACUGGGAAGCUAGAGUAUGGGAGAGGAUGGUAGAAUUCCAGGUGUAGAGGUGAAAUGCGUAGAGAUCUGGAGGAAUACCGAUGGCGAAGGCAGCCAUCUGGCCUAAUACUGACGCUGAGGUACGAAAGCAUGGGGAGCAAACAGGAUUAGAUACCCGGGUAGUCCCUGUCUCUUAUAC
RNAcentral lists this ribosomal RNA (301 nucleotides) under uncultured bacterium. RNAcentral describes it as "partial 16S ribosomal RNA". It matches the Rfam family "Bacterial small subunit ribosomal RNA", at positions 509 to 807 of the family's 1533-position model. The record is from RNAcentral.